Molecule: long non-coding RNA, 576 nt
Organism: Leopardus geoffroyi (Geoffroy's cat)
Lineage: Eukaryota; Metazoa; Chordata; Mammalia; Carnivora; Felidae
Exons: 3
Source: RefSeq, a predicted model, not a curated record
UUUGGUCAGAUGAUCCUGUUACUCUGGCCACUCCUGUUUGGUGAGGAAGUCAGGGUCUUAUCUAGAGGGAAUCACCAACCGGCUGGGCAGAAGGAAGACCAGUGGCUUCUGAGGAGGCCUGGGUGAAGUGGCGAACUCCAGGGAGCCACAGGGAGCCAUAAAGAACAAAGAGCCAGUCCUUCUGCCUAUGGUCUAAGCCAAAAGAAUUCUCAUGGCUCCCAUGUGAUCUGGAGACUUGGAGUCAAAGCCCAUUCUGACGAUGUGGAGGCUGCCCUCUGGGUGAAUGAGGAUUGAGUGUGUUGAAGGAGUCAGUCCCAGCAAGAUCAGAAGCUGCCCUGACAGCCACAGCAAAUCUGGGACAGCAGAGGGUGCUGUGGGAGCAGGCUGAUGGUCCCUCUGGCCCUCCUUUCCCUCCAGAAGUCAUCUGAGGCCACCCCUCCCUACAUCAGACUCUCCCUCAUCCGCCCGGUCCAGCCCCUGCCUGUUUUGUUUUUGUAAUCCCACAGUGCACUUGCAUGGAAGGUACUUGCUGUGUGUUUGUCAAAUCAAUGAAUAAUAGAGAGACACAGAAAUCUC